UUCGUCGGCGUCCAAUUAAGUUUCUUGUUUAAGCCCGAGGCUCAACUUCGGAUCAGCAAGAAAAACUAUUUGGAUAGAGUCUGUUCGAGGAAACUAGAAUUCUUGGUGGAGGGGUGAAAUCCGUAGAUAUCAAGAGGAAUACCGAGCGCGAAGGCAGGUUUCUAGGACAGUACUGACGCUCAGGAACGAAAGCUUGGGUAGCAAAAG
RNAcentral lists this ribosomal RNA (207 nucleotides) under uncultured bacterium. Its description in RNAcentral is "partial 16S ribosomal RNA". It matches the Rfam family "Bacterial small subunit ribosomal RNA", at positions 568 to 774 of the family's 1533-position model. The record is from RNAcentral.